This is a long non-coding RNA of Symphalangus syndactylus (siamang), 393 nucleotides long. RefSeq lists it as uncharacterized. The record is from RefSeq and is a predicted model, not a curated record. NCBI's taxonomy places the organism in Eukaryota, Metazoa, Chordata, Mammalia, Primates, Hylobatidae.
GUGCCAUUCUCUCUCCUUGCAAGCCUUUUCCACACCUUAUGUGCCUGGAAGCAUGUAUGUGUCACACACUGUUCAAGGUCGCACAUUGCUCAAGGAGCCCAUGAGCAAUCAAGGGAGACAGAUGGAGAUGUGAAUUCACUAUGCUGCCCAGGCUGGUCUUGGACUCCUGACUCCAAGUAAUCCUCCCACCUUAGCUUGCCAAAGUGCUGGGCUUACAGAUUCAGGACUUUGUGAAGGUGCUGCGUUCCCCACAUUGGACAAGUGGAAGAAACAUGAUGCUGACAAUGGCCCUAAUCUUACAGGUGAAACCAAGAAAAGCAAGAAAGCCAGCAAAACCAGGGAACCCUAAAGAGGCAGUUAGAGGAGAGUCCAUGGAUCUGGCCAGCGGCCUGC